RNAcentral lists this small RNA (55 nucleotides) under Fimbriimonas ginsengisoli Gsoil 348. RNAcentral describes it as "Acido-Lenti-1 RNA". It matches the Rfam family "Acido-Lenti-1 RNA". Lineage: Bacteria; Bacillati; Armatimonadota; Fimbriimonadia; Fimbriimonadales; Fimbriimonadaceae. The record is from Rfam by way of RNAcentral.
CCCAGGGUUUCGCUUCGCUCCACCCUGGGCUGUAGGAUGUCGCGCCUUCAGCGCU